This 2953-nucleotide long non-coding RNA is filed under the name Sus scrofa (pig). RNAcentral describes it as "lncRNA (ENSSSCG00030043901.1)". The record is from RNAcentral. Lineage: Eukaryota; Metazoa; Chordata; Mammalia; Artiodactyla; Suidae.
GUAGUGCCUCGCGCUCUCAUUCCUCCGCCUCCCUCCCUCUCUUCGCCUCCCGCCCUCCCACCUCUCCCUCCGCACACACGCCGCACGCCCCACACCCCGCCGGGGCCGGCUCGCCGCCCUCCUUUUCCUCUUCCGUCCGGCCUCCCCGCCCUCGGUCCACCCCCUCCGCGCGCUCGCCCACCCCGCCCAGCCCGGAUCUCAGUCAGCGGCCGGAAGGGAAACGCGAAGCCAGCGCCGCUGCGGGGGGAGUCGGAUACCGCCUUUUUUACAAACUGGAGGUUUAUGGCAGCCCUGCAUUGAACAAGUCUAUCAGCACCAUUUUUCUAAUGCUGCUUGCUCACUUCAUGUCUCUGUGUCACAUUUUGUUAAUUCCUGCAAGAUUAUUUUUCAUUUUAAUAUUAUGUCUGUUACGGUGAUCUGUGAUCAGUGAUCUUUGAUGUUACCAUUGUAGUUGUUUUGGGGGCCACAAACUGUACCCAUGUAGGGUGGCAGACUUAACUGACUGUUGAAAUGACAAAGGAUUUAGAAUUUUAUGUAAACUCAGUUGAUAAAAACAAGGGGAGGGUUUGAAGGGAUUGACUCCAAUUCUGAAAGCUCUAUUGUGGGUAAAAUGCUGUCAAACAGCAUUACAUGCUACAGAUAAAUUGUUCAUGAAAUGAAGAGUCAAUCUACACAACAAACUUCACUGUUGCCUGAUUUUAAGGAAUUGCCACAGCUGCCACAGUUGCCACAGCCUCCCCAGCCUUCAGCAACCACCUACCUGAUAAAGCAGUCAACAUCAAGGCAAAACUCCACUGAACCACCAGGGAACUCCAGCAAUAAGCUAAAUUAAGAUAGUGUUUUCUUAGACAUAAUGAUUUUGCACACUACAGUAUAAACAUACCUUCUAUAUGUAUUGGGAAACCAAAAAAUUCAUGUAACUCAUUUUACUACAGUAUCUGAUUUAUUGCAGCAGUCCGGGACCCAACCCACGAUAUCUGUGAAACAUGCUUGUAUUACCUAAUUAUUAUUUUGUUUGACUUUUUAACAAAAAAGUAUGUAUAACAGGGGAAGAAAAUCCUAUAGAAGCAUGUAGUGAUUUAACUAAUCCUAAAGGAGACUUUCCAAAAGCCAAUAAUUUGAAUUGUCCCUUUGUUCCCCACACACCCCUAGGUUUUUUUAUACUUUCAGGCAGUGCCUCAUUGUAAUGAACAUGGAAGUUGAAUGCCUAGAAAUUGAUGCCCUGAAAACUUUCCAUACUGUGGUCCUUUGGAAAGUGUUUGUAAAACCCUCUAUGUAAACCCUCUUCUGAAAACCACUGCUCUGAAAUCUUUGCAUUAUGGCCUAGUUGAGGCAUAAAGAUUCCAAACAUUCACAGGUUUGAUGUUUAAUUUAUAGUCCUGAUGUUACAGACUGGAAGAAGUUUAUUCUAUCUAAAGAAUUUUUUUUUCUUUGCUUUUUAGGGCCACACCUGUGGCAUAUGGAGCUUCCUGGGCUGGGGUCUAAUCUGAGCUCUAUUUGCCGGCCUACACCACAGCCACAGCAGUGCCAGAUCCCAGCCACAUCUUCCACCUACACCUCAGCUCAUGGCAACGCCAGAUCUUUAACCCACUAGCAAGGCCAGGGAUGGAACCUGAAAUCUUCUGGUUCCUAGUUGGAUUCGAUUUUGCUGUGCCACUAUAGGAACUCCAAGAAUUUUUUUGUAAUAACCACCACUGUGUGUCCUUGAUCAUGUUACUUAAUCUCUCUAUGCCUCUGUUUCUUUAACUAUACAAGGAGCACUAAUGAUAGUACCUACCUCCAGGUUGUAAGGAUUAAAUGAAUUUAUGCAGAUGAAAUGUGUAGAACAGUGUUUGACUUAUAAUAAGCACAGAAUUAAAUGAUCAUCUUUUGUUUGAAAGAGAAAAAAAUUACAUCAGAAUUUUUGCUGUCUGGUGAAUUACUCUCAAAUUAUUUGCAGUAAUUCUUAAACUUUGGUUCCCAUGAGAAGAAUUUAGAGUGCCUUGUUUUUUGGGGGGUGGGGAAAGAAAACAUAUUCCUUGCGUAUUUCCCAGAGAUUUGGAUUCUGUUGGCCUGAUUUGGGCCCAGAAAUCACCUGUUUUAACAAGCACUCCAGGUAAUUCUGAUGCAGAUGGCUCUUGUCUGACCCUGUUUAUUUGAAACACUAUAGUCAGGUUUAAUCCCAUUUCGUCAACAUACAUCCUGCCUAUAUUUAAAAGCAAGAAGUCUGGUUUCUAUUUCGACUGACUUUUCUUUGGCCCAGAACACCCAGAGCUCUUUUACCUCUUCCUCAUGUAACAAGGUUUCAGAUUUGUACAUGGUCCUGAUUGAGAAAUUAAGCCUUGUCUAGAGAAUAGCAAUGUUUUCAUGAGAUAUGGUAUCUAGAAAUACAGUCUGACCUCACAAAGUAGCAAAAAAUUAUGAUCUUUUUUGUUCUAGACAACAUGCUCCAAUUAAUUUAGCCAUAUAAUAUUUGGCAACUCUAAACUGCAGUUAAUUAAAAUAUUUAGAUCUUUUUCACAUUUUCUGCUGCUAUAUCUCUUCCUAUAUUUGUGCAAUUUUUUUAACCUACUUGCAAUAUUUUGCAAUUAUUUCUUGUAAACUUUUUUCAUGUAAAAGUAAUACUACUCACUAUAAAAGCUAAAGAAAAAUUUUCAGCAUGGAAAAACUAAAUACUGACCAUUAUCCAAUAUCCAAUCAUAGGCAGUAUCAACAUCUUAAUACAUGUUGUCAUUCUUUAAUAGGCAUGUAAAUCUCCUUCUAUCAAAAUGGGAUUAACAUGUUUAAAUGAAACAAGUAUUAAGAAUUCCUUAUUAACAUGUAUAGAUAUAUAAUGCUUUUAUUGUCCUUAGUAUAGCAUUUCAUUGUAAUGAUUCACUGUAAUUACAUAAAACUGGACUCAGCUGAUGAACAUUUAAAUUGUCUCCAACUUACCCCUCUUAAGCAGCACCGCAAUAAACUCUCUAAUGCACAU